Long non-coding RNA from Vicia villosa (hairy vetch), 3787 nucleotides. RefSeq lists it as uncharacterized. The transcript has 11 exons. The record is from RefSeq and is a predicted model, not a curated record. NCBI's taxonomy places the organism in Eukaryota, Viridiplantae, Streptophyta, Magnoliopsida, Fabales, Fabaceae.
UAGCUUUAUUAGGUGACAAAUAUCACUUAUGGGGGCAAAUUAGGUCCAAAGUAACCAUUUGUCAGACAAUUAGAUGGUAUUAGUUACAUAAUUGGUACCUUUUGUGCCAUUCAUUGGUUGCCGCCAUUAUUUAAUAUUUUUCUGCAACGUUCCAGUUGCACACGAACCAGAAAAACUUGGAAAGUUCUCUCUGCAAAACAACUGCUCACUCAUGGUCUUCCCAAUGAGAUGCACUGUUUGCAGGUUCUCUUUCUUUCUUUCCUUGUCUUUCUUUCUUUCCUCUUCUCUUUCUUCACAUUUCCCAUCUACCUCCUCUGUCCGGAUCAAACCCAACACAAAAAACCUAGAACAGGUAUCCAACAUUAAUGAUUCGAAGGAGCUUUGGAAACCUGCUCCGAUGAAAUCCGUGUGUAUGAACUUCCCACCAUCAAAGAUACAACACAUAUGUUGAUGUUGAGGUUAUUGGGAUUUUUUUCCUAUUUUUCUGAAUACUGUUUUGAACUUUAUUUUCUUUAGCUCAUGGAAGCCUUGGUGACUGGUUUUGUGGUUUUGAAUCAGGUAAUGGUUGCUUCUGUGUUUGCUUUAGCGGAUGAAACCCUUGUUUUAUUCUGCAGGAAACAAAAACAAGGUGAUGAGGCGGUAAACAACGUUUGUUUUCCAUCACACGUCUCAUCCGUGGAGCAGGGAUCAAAUACUAACCUGGAUGGAACAUAAAUUGCCAUUAUCGUACGAUUUUCAUAAAUAUAUGGUUCAAAGCAUGGAAGACGAAUUUCAUGGCAUUCUAGGAAUAAGCUGGACGCUUUGGAUUUAUGAUGCAAAACUCUAAGUGUCCAAAACAUAGAAACAACCUCAAACUGGUGCAGUAUCAAAUCCUGUGCAGCAAGCUUCAUCGUCUCCCAACUGCCCGCCCUCUCCCACAAGCAAUACCUACUGCAUCAUCAGUAAGUGGUGGCUCAGGUUCUGCUGGAACUGGUAACAGGGUUUCUGUUGAUGACAUAGUUUAAAAAGUUGCUACUGUGGGAUUCCUUAGAGACCAUGUGAGGGCAACGGUUUGGAAGCUGACAGAGAAUGGUUAAUUGUUCUGAGUAUGUGGUGUUUCGGAUAUGGAUCAACUUCCACUGCUCGUGAUUUUGAAAUCUAUGCUCCCGAUGCUUUCUCCGAGCAUCCUCUUAUGCGUGCACACGAGUAUGUACUACUCUUUCAAACAUGGUUGCUACUACUGACAUUAUUCAAAUUCUAUUUUAUUUAUGGAUUAAAUGUCUAGCUUCCUGUUUUUUUAAUGGUUAUAAGGGAGAACAUUGAGAAGGUACAUUAAGAAACCUUUUUCUCAUUCAUAUUCACUAAUGUGCCUUGACCAUUGAUGUAGGUUGAAGUGUGAUAAGUCUCCAACAUCCGCGUUUGAACUCAGAUAACUCUCAUUUUGCUUCUCCAAUUUUAAUUCCUAAGUUGAAAUUUAAUUUAUGAUUUUCCUGUAAACAACAGAGAACCUUUUGGGUCCACCGGGUUCUGGGAAAACAACAUUGCUUCUUGCACUUGCUAGAAAACUUGAUCCUAAUUUAAGGGCUUCUGGGAAAACUUGUGCUUAUAUUAGUCAUUAUGACAUGGAGAAGUUACUGUGAGAGAGACAUUGGAUUUUUCAUCACGUUGUUUAGGUGUUGGCAAUAGCUAUGAAACUUUGAUGGAACUCUCAAGAAGGGAGAGAGAAGCUGGAAUCAAACCAGACCCCGAGAUUGAUGCUUUCAUGAAGGCUGCUGCAUUAUAUGGCCAAAAAACCAGUUUUGUAACUGAUUAUGUUCUCAAGAUGCUUGGAUUGGAUAUAUGUGCUGACACCAUGGUUGGUGAUGAAAUGAGAAGGGGUAUCUCUGGAGGACAAAAGAAGCCAAUAACAACAAGUUCUAUUCUUUUCUAUUACAUUCUUAAUAAACAAUCUGAGCUUAUUAAACAUUUAUCUCACAGGCAUUUUGUAGCUAUUUAUGAAUCUGUACAUAUUGCUUUUGUUGGAACUUAUAGGGGAAAUGUUGGUAGGACCAGCAAAAGCAUUUUUAUGGAUGAAAUUUCAACAGAAUUGGAUAGUUCGACCACUUUUCAGAUAUGCAAGUUCAUGAGACAAGUAGUGGAACUGACUGUAGUCAUUUCUCUUUUACAGCCAGCGCCUGAGACAUUUGAAUUGUUUGACGAUAUUAUUCUACUUUCAGAAGGUCAAAUUUUCUACCAAGGUCCACGCAAACACGUGCUAGAGUUCUUUGAAAACACGGGUUUUAGGUGUCCAGAUAGAAAAGGUGUCGUUGAUUUCUUACAAGAAGUAACAUCCAAGAAAGAUCAAGAACAAUACUGGUCUAGAAGAGAUGAACCUUAGACAAAAGAUGGAGUGAGCCAAAUACGAACACAAGAAUUGAUGCAUCAACAGUUGGAGAAGUACUUCUCAAAUCCAGAGGCCUGUAUGCAGAAGAUUAUUGGUAUUGGAUAUCCAUUGAAGCCUUGGUUGGGUUUUUUCUUCUCUUCAACCUUUUCUUCAUUCUCGCAUUAACUUAUUUGAGUACGUUCGGUGAUUUGAAAGCAGUCACUGCGGAUGAAAACCACAAGAAGAAUGAAAGUUCAUCCGCUAGACAUCAUCAACUUGAACGUUUGAACCUACAUAUUUGUAUACUUCCUCCUUAAUAAUAUAUUGGUGAUUCUAAGUGUAUCUCAUUAUCAUUUAUAGAAGUGUGUGUAUAACUUAAUACUUAGCAGCAUUAAUUUUUUUAUAACAAGUUUUUGUUAGUUAGUUGCAGCAAUAUUUUCAGGAAAUUUUAGUUAUUCAAAGUUAUCUUUUUUUUAUCAAUAGUUGCAAAUAGUUCUCAUGAAUUCAAUGGAAACAUGUUAUUUAACACUGCUAUGUGUUUCUGAUUAAAAACAAGUACCGACAUGGCAAUAAGAAAUUCUUCUGAUGGUAUGAAUUCAUCAAACCAUGAACCAAAAAGAGGAAUGGCUCUACCAUUUCAACCACUUUCUAUAACAUUCAAUCAUAUAAACUACUAUGUAGACAUGCCAGCAGUAAGUCUCUCAAUUCUAAGCAUUGCAUUUUUCUAUGUUGUUGGAUUAUUUAACCUUACGAGUUAUAUUUUAUGACUUUCAUGACAUCAGGAAAUGAAGAGUCAAGGAGUGAAUAAGAAUAAACUUCAAGUACUACAAGAUGUUAGUGGUGCUUUUAGACCAGGAAUAUUAACAGCACUUGUAGGUUUAGCGGUGCUAGAAAAGACAACGCUCAUGGAUGUAUUAGCUGGAAGAAAAAACAGGUGGAUAUAUAUUGAAGGAAAUAUCAGCAUAUCAUGUUACCAAAAGAACCAAACAACAUUCACUCGAAUAAGUUGUGAACAUAAUGAUAUUCAUUCUCCACAUGUUACUAUCUAUGAAUCACUACUGUUUUUGGUGUGACUUCGUCUUCCUUCAGAUUUAAAGACACAAACUCGAAAGAUGUUUGUGGAAGAAGUUAUGGAGUUGGUAGAGCUUAAACCCCUUAGAGAUGCUCUUGUGGGGCUUCCAGGUGUGAAUGGUUUGUCAACGAACAACCCUUCAAUCAUCUUCAUGGAUGAACCAACUUCUAGAAACCUAUCCUAUGGUGAUAUAAGCAAGCUGUUAUUUUAGAAUCAUACUAGAAAAAAAUUAAUUCUUUGAUUCAGUGUCUUUAGUUGGCUUUCAUAAUGCGAUGCUUUGAAAAUUCAACCCUCAUGGACUUGCAAGUAGUUCCAUGUUAUCAUAUCUAUAACUGUAACAUUGUCCAUGUUAUCAUAUUUUCUCUCUCUCGGAA